This 253-nucleotide ribosomal RNA is filed under the name uncultured bacterium. RNAcentral describes it as "partial 16S ribosomal RNA". It matches the Rfam family "Bacterial small subunit ribosomal RNA", at positions 524 to 776 of the family's 1533-position model. The record is from RNAcentral.
UACGUAGGGUGCAAGCGUUGUCCGGAAUUAUUGGGCGUAAAGAGCUCGUAGGCGGUUCGUCGCGUCGGCUGUGAAAUCCCGGAGCUCAACUCCGGGUCUGCAGUCGAUACGGGCGGACUUGAGUACUGCAGGGGAGACUGGAAUUCCUGGUGUAGCGGUGAAAUGCGCAGAUAUCAGGAGGAACACCGGUGGCGAAGGCGGGUCUCUGGGCCGUUACUGACGCUGAGGAGCGAAAGCGUGGGGAGCGAACAGG